AAUAGAACAAUUUUCAAAGUAAUGUACGUGGAAGUACCAAGCAACAAUAUAAAGCAACAUCUGUGAAACUUGGAAGUACCAACCACCUCUAGCAUGAGAAAAAAGUAAGAGCCUUAACCUUGUCCCGAAAAGCCAUAUAAUUUUAAUUAACUUUUCAAUACAAACUAAGAAAAUAAAAUCUUGAUAAUCAAAUCUUAUGUCUAAUAUGCAUAUUUUGUCUUUAGUGUCAUGAAAUCUUCAAACUUCGAUGUGCUUAUCCCAAGACUUUCCUUCCAUAUUCUGUAAAAAAAUGUAGUGAGAAAUUAUAGCAUAGUCAAUCGCUCAAAAUGUAAAAAAUUUAAAAACUACAGGGGUUCAAAUAUGUUCUCAUCAGAAGCUAAUUCCAAUAAUUAAUGAUCAUAAUCAGGAAAGAAACCCACCAUAAUCAAGUUACAAACCAACCACUACGUACAUCACAAUGCUUAGUUAUGUCACGUUACUGACAGAGUAUGUCUCAUUCCUUUUUAGAUUCUAAUAAGCUUGUUGAUGCAUUCUUACCUUACACUUGAAUAUUUCUCAUAGACUUCUUUUGUGAAAUGAAAGUUAGGAAGUUGGAAUUAAACCACCAUAUAAAAGUUCAAAGUUUUCAAGAUGCUCCACAAUGAAUGGGUUUAACAGGUUAAUUCUUCCUAAUUUCAUCUGAACCAUCUUAAAAUUCUUAAUAGUUCCUGAACGAAACCAUAAGGAGCUAUUGUUAGUGAGAAAAUGGGCAAGAAUAAAAUUGAACAAAGAGAUAAUGUCAAUCUUCUUUUAGAGUGCAUCAAUCGUGAAGAGCUGUAGAAAUUUAGAAGAGUAACUAUGUUGGAUAAUGAAUGAGUGAGCAAACUAAUGAAAUACAAUACAUACACGCUCACAAACCUGUUCCUGAAGUUCUGAUUCUGCAUUAUUUAGCACCCUACAUCAUCAUUAGAUAAAGGAGAACAACAUAAUAGCUUUCAGAGUUUCAACAACCAUACUACAAACACAAUACAAACACACUCACAAACGAUUAAAAGGCGCAUGACAAAAUUUAAGAACUCACACAGGAGAGAAGCAGAGUUGUGAAAAUCAUGUGGCUGAACCAAUCCUCUUCAAUUCCUGUCAAGAAAAAUUAAAAAAAUGUCAAGAAAGAAAUAAAAUACUGAUGAACCCUAAUUU
This 1176-nucleotide long non-coding RNA is filed under the name Lotus japonicus. RNAcentral describes it as "long non-coding RNA (LJAP_LNC001323)". Lineage: Eukaryota; Viridiplantae; Streptophyta; Magnoliopsida; Fabales; Fabaceae. The record is from RNAcentral.